This 123-nucleotide non-coding RNA is filed under the name Rossellomorea marisflavi. Its description in RNAcentral is "Bacillus marisflavi c-di-GMP sequence". It matches the Rfam family "c-di-GMP-I riboswitch aptamer". From Rfam's summary of the family: GEMM was predicted in a large-scale screen for bacterial structured RNA regulatory elements. Genes associated with GEMM are involved in a diverse array of functions, including chemotaxis regulation, signal transduction, secretion and chitin. RNAcentral also lists the same sequence under 1 other name. The record is from RNAcentral. Lineage: Bacteria; Bacillati; Bacillota; Bacilli; Caryophanales; Bacillaceae.
AUCAGAUAAAGGCAAACCUGCUGAAAGGCAGGGACGCAAAGUCACAGGUCUAAGGUUGGACAUAUGCGCAAUGAUUCCCGUCAGCAGGAGCGUAUCGAACACUAGGAUGGCUGGAUUGCCUGA